AAGUCGAGCGGGCCCUUCGGGGUCAGCGGCAGACGGGUGAGUAACACGUGGGAACGUACCCUUUGGUUCGGAAUAACGCUGGGAAACUAGCGCUAAUACCGGAUACGCCCUUUUGGGGAAAGGCUUGCUGCCGAAGGAUCGGCCCGCGUCUGAUUAGCUAGUUGGUGGGGUAAUGGCCUACCAAGGCGACGAUCAGUAGCUGGUCUGAGAGGAUGAUCAGCCACACUGGGACUGAGACACGGCCCAG
Molecule: ribosomal RNA, 247 nt
Filed under: uncultured bacterium
Lineage: Bacteria
Description: partial 16S ribosomal RNA
Rfam family: Bacterial small subunit ribosomal RNA
Source: RNAcentral